Molecule: long non-coding RNA, 867 nt
Organism: Conger conger (European conger)
Lineage: Eukaryota; Metazoa; Chordata; Actinopteri; Anguilliformes; Congridae
Exons: 2
Source: RefSeq, a predicted model, not a curated record
AGAAGCUACCCAGAACACCACUGUUUGGUGGGAUAUGAUCAGAGGAAGGAGGGGAUGUACUGUCCAGAUUCCCAUCUGCCUGUGGUAGGGGCCCUGCUGCUCCCAUUCUGCCUCAGCAUCAAGCCUCUCGUGGUGGGGAACCAGAUCAGACGCUGCCGCUGCGGUUCUGGCGGCUCCAUUUCGGGCCAGGUGGCCAGCCACGUGCGCACCGUAUGCGCCACGGCCGCGCGACUGAGCGAGAGGCGGUGGCAUCAUGAAAGCGUCAUGUUCAUUAAAAAAAGUUGACCAAAACCUACACUUCAUAACUGGAAAAAAAGGACUUUACUUCAAAGCCGAGCUUAAAUGUCUACGCAUGUCUGCCUGUCUGGUUCCGUCUGGCAGUUUGGCAGGAAGCGGUGGAAACUCUGCUCCGUGUCUCCUCAAGGGCUGAAAAGAGAAGGCUGGUCCCAUUACACCACCGGAGACUAGGGUGACAGACGCUCAACAGACCUUCUUUUCCAAACCCACAGCUGAAUAGAAAAAACAGAGGAGGGUAUCCUUACCUUGAAGAUACAUUUACAUGCAAACGUGAUGGGACAGUUGUGUCAAACUGUUUUUUUUUCUCUACUAACCAAAUUUGUAUUUCAUAUCGAACAAUGACCAUGAGGUAAAUUCCCAAUGUCUAUUUAUUUAAUGUGAUUUUUUAUAGACAUAAUAGACAAUGCCACUAAACAUUUAACUUUUAAUUGCAUAUCAGCAGCACAGACACUCAAACAAGUGAUCAAAUUGGCAUAUCCAUUUGCCAUCUGUAGAUGAGUUAAUACAAAUGGCUGGACUGAACAGAACCAUAUGCACAAAAAGAGAUAAAAAGUCUUGUUUGUUCCAUUU